This 92-nucleotide small nucleolar RNA is filed under the name Auricularia subglabra TFB-10046 SS5. RNAcentral's name for it is "Small nucleolar RNA snR60/Z15/Z230/Z193/J17". It matches the Rfam family "Small nucleolar RNA snR60/Z15/Z230/Z193/J17". From Rfam's summary of the family: The members of this family belong to the C/D class of snoRNAs which contain the C (UGAUGA) and D (CUGA) box motifs. Most of the members of the box C/D family function in directing site-specific 2'-O-methylation of substrate RNAs. Lineage: Eukaryota; Fungi; Basidiomycota; Agaricomycetes; Auriculariales; Auriculariaceae. The record is from Rfam by way of RNAcentral.
CUUAUGAUGAUCUUUCGCACCUUCGCAUAGUUCACACUGAACUACUAGCCAUGUUGACACAAAUGCAUCUAACGUCUUUCGCUCCUAUCUGA